GAAUGACACCCUUCCUCCCUCCUGUUUAGGAUUCACUGUGCCUCAGGGCACUGGGCCCCCAAAGUGGGGUUUGCAGACUAAUUCCAGACAUGCGGCUGCUGAUCCGAAGACACUGAGAUGGCUGGAGAUUCCUGGAUUAGACUGCUCUGUACUCUUCUCUCUUAAACCUGCUUCCUAAUUCUCCAAAUGCUAAAUUCAGAAAAGAAAGAUCAGGCCUGUACUCACACAAGACAUGGAGCUGGAUGGUAGUGGUUUUGAUGAACCGCUGACCCUGAACCUCCAAAGAGGCCUCACAGGAGAAAUUUCGGCCAUCGUCUUCUUCCCUGGUGAUUUCUUCGUCAGCUCCAGUAAAUGUUCCUAGAAACAAGUUCAAGGAUCCACAAUCGCUGUCUAAGUAGGAUGGCCUAGGGAAACAGGGUGAAGGCUAGAUAGAACUAACUGUCUCAAUGCGUGUCUCCCAUCUGCCUGCACUUAUCAAAGAAAGAUGAAGACUACUGUUCACUGGAGAGGGUGCCUAGUAAAGGUUAGCAGGGAGGUGUGCAGUCAAAAGCCUUUACUGUAGAAGUUUUCAGUGGGGAAGGAAAGAGGCCGGUAACUUACUAUAGA
Molecule: long non-coding RNA, 606 nt
Organism: Hipposideros armiger (great roundleaf bat)
Lineage: Eukaryota; Metazoa; Chordata; Mammalia; Chiroptera; Hipposideridae
Exons: 3
Source: RefSeq, a predicted model, not a curated record